Molecule: ribosomal RNA, 253 nt
Filed under: uncultured bacterium
Lineage: Bacteria
Description: partial 16S ribosomal RNA
Rfam family: Bacterial small subunit ribosomal RNA
Source: RNAcentral
UACGAAGGGGGCUAGCGUUGCUCGGAAUUACUGGGCGUAAAGGGUGCGUAGGCGGUUCUUUAAGUCAGGUGUGAAAUCCUGGAGCUCAACUCCAGAACUGCCUUUGAUACUGAAGAUCUUGAGUUCGGGAGAGGUGAGUGGAACUGCGAGUGUAGAGGUGAAAUUCGUAGAUAUUCGCAAGAACACCAGUGGCGAAGGCGGCUCACUGGCCCGAUACUGACGCUGAGGCACGAAAGCGUGGGGAGCAAACAGG